This is an RNA transcript of Colius striatus (speckled mousebird), 1356 nucleotides long. It is a transcript of the gene named HYLS1 centriolar and ciliogenesis associated, with no coding region annotated. NCBI's taxonomy places the organism in Eukaryota, Metazoa, Chordata, Aves, Coliiformes, Coliidae. The record is from RefSeq and is a predicted model, not a curated record. The transcript is spliced from 3 exons.
CUCUCCGGCAGUUUAAACGGCGGCCACGGUUUAGCGGGCGGUAACGGCCGCGGCGGGAGGACGGGAGCAGCCGGGCUCUGUCAGAAUCCCCCUCCCCCUCAGUUUUGCAGAAACCAUGGAGGGGCUGAGGACCAGGUAUGAUUGGGCCCCUCUGGAUGCUGAGGAGCUGAGCCCAUCGUCCACCCAGCGAGGAGGCGGCGAGGAGCAGCCACGGCCCCGUCACGGGGAGGAUCCCUACGUCGAGGCCUCCUUUGCUUUGGGAGUUCAUCCACCCCUUCCUCCUUUUCCUGAGGAUGGCAAGUCAUCCAGGAGGCUGGUGAUGAAGAGGAAGGUGCUGAGGCACAGACCUGACGGAGGAGUGGAGGUGUCUGAUGAGUCAGUGAGCAGCGAGCAGGAGAGCGACAGCGAGGUCGGGAGCCUCAGGCACAAGAUGCUGCAGCUGAGGAUGAGCGCGGACGACAGCAUCUCCGAGGGGGAAAUCGAGGGGAGCAGCGGUGAAUCCCUUCAGCAUUGGCCCUGUGAGGAUAAUCCCUCCUCUCUCCUCGAGGAUUUUGGGAGCCAGAGCUCUCUUCCUUCUCAACACAGCACCGUGGUGGAACAACCCAAGUCCUUCAUCCCUCCUCGCUUCGAACCUUUGGGCCGCAACCGGGGAAAAACCGACCGAGUGGCCAAAUACCUGGAAUAUAAACGUGAGUGGGAGAAAUUCCGAAUCCCAGGGCAGGAGCCACACCAGGAACUACGCUGGAGCAUCCGGGAACAGAUGCUCUGCAAACCUGACCCUCCUCUCAAGUCCACUCACGUUUACGUUCCCAACACUUACGUCGUGCCCACCGACAAAAAACGAGCUGCCCUGCGCUGGGAGGUGCGCUGGGACCUGGCCAAGGGCCUCCUCCCCCGAAAAUACACCUCCUUCUAGGUUCCUAAAGCCUCCUUCCACAUCAACUACCUUUGAUCCCCUCCCUUUUAUUUUCUUGCAUUUCAAGGGGGUUAAAUCUUGUGAUUAAGACUUUGCCGUGCCCCGUGAGGUCACUCUCUGAGAGACCAAGAUCAAGCAGCUGCACCCGGAUGAUGCUCAAGUUCCUUCACAGCUUGAAAACUGAGUGAGGAGCUGGGGCUUUGUGCCACCCAAAUCCAUGUUUUGGUGGAAAACAGAACAAAAAGUUACAGAGGGGGGAGAAAAAUCUCUCACUUCUCCUUUCACUUCCUAAAGCUGUUGGGUUUUGUUGUGAUGGUUUAGAAGACAAAAGAACCCUGGGGAUGGUCCUGGCUUGAGGAAUCCCCCCCGAGGGGCUCCUUCUGUGGGGUAACACACGUCCAAAAUGAGUCUGGGGAGCCUGGAGCUCCCAGAAAAAUGCU